AUAAAUUGGAAAACACCUGAGACAGCAAAAAACUUUUCAAAUUUUACCAGCUCUCCCUAUUUCCGAUAGCUUCAACAUAGCUGCGGAAAAAUAAGCUACCGUUGGAAUGCCUGUAAAAUAGAGAAUCAAAAACAUUUCUCUGUACUCAACUUUGAUACUUACAAAUCUUAAUCCUCCAAAUUUAUAGGCGGUGGGUGUGUUUGAAGUAUAUUGAUUGUUGUAACGGCUGAGGAAGACUUUGAUAUGGGACCUCAAUAAAGGCAGCAUAUUCUCUGUUACUGAACUUCUAAUACUUUCUCCUGGUAAUCACUUACAAAUGAAUCUUUAUUGCAAUCGAUUG
Molecule: unclassified non-coding RNA, 340 nt
Filed under: Hevea brasiliensis (rubber tree)
Lineage: Eukaryota; Viridiplantae; Streptophyta; Magnoliopsida; Malpighiales; Euphorbiaceae
Source: RNAcentral